RNAcentral lists this ribosomal RNA (167 nucleotides) under uncultured bacterium. RNAcentral describes it as "partial 16S rRNA". It matches the Rfam family "Bacterial small subunit ribosomal RNA", at positions 338 to 522 of the family's 1533-position model. The record is from RNAcentral.
CCUACGGGGGGCGGCAGUGGGGAAUCUUAGACAAUGGGCGCAAGCCUGAUCUAGCCAUGCCGCGUGAGUGAUGAAGGCCUUAGGGUCGUAAAGCUCUUUCGCCAGAGAUGAUAAUGACAGUAUCUGGUAAAGAAACCCCGGCUAACUACGUGCCAGCAGCCCCGGUC